CCUACGGGGAGCAGCAGUGAGGAAUAUUGGUCAAUGGACGAGAGUCUGAACCAGCCAAGUAGCGUGAAGGAUGACUGCCCUAUGGGUUGUAAACUUCUUUUAUAUGGGAAUAAAACAGGGUAUGCAUACACUCUUGUAUGUACCAUAUGAAUAAGGAUCGGCUAACUCCGUGCCAGCAGCCGCGGUAAUACGGAGGAUCCGAGCGUUAUCCGGAUUUAUUGGGUUUAAAGGGAGCGUAGGUGGAUUGUUAAGUCAGUUGUGAAAGUUUGCGGCUCAAUCGUAAAAUUGCAGUUGAAACUGGCAGUCUUGAGUACAGUAGAGGUGGGCGGAAUUCGUGGUGUAGCGGUGAAAUGCUUAGAUAUCACGAAGAACUCCGAUUGCGAAGGCAGCCUGCCGGGGUGCGACUGACGCUGAGGCUCGAAGGUGCGGGUAUCAAACAGGAUUAGAUACCCCUGUAGUC
RNAcentral lists this ribosomal RNA (460 nucleotides) under uncultured bacterium. Its description in RNAcentral is "partial 16S ribosomal RNA". It matches the Rfam family "Bacterial small subunit ribosomal RNA", at positions 338 to 795 of the family's 1533-position model. The record is from RNAcentral.